Molecule: ribosomal RNA, 431 nt
Filed under: Chaetoceros curvisetus
Lineage: Eukaryota; Bacillariophyta; Thalassiosirophyceae; Chaetocerotales; Chaetocerotaceae
Description: partial Eukaryotic large subunit ribosomal RNA
Rfam family: Eukaryotic large subunit ribosomal RNA
Source: RNAcentral
UCGGAUCAGGUAGGGAUACCCGCUGAACUUAAGCAUAUCAAUAAGCGGAGGAAAAGAAACCAACAGGGAUUGCCCUAGUAACGGCGAGUGAAGCGGCAACAGCUCAAAUUUGAAAGCUAGCCUUCGGGUUCGCAUUGUAAUUUGUAGAGGAUGAUUUGGGGAAGCCGCCUGUCUAAGUUCCUUGGAACAGGACGUCAUAGAGGGUGAGAAUCCCGUAUGUGACAGGAAAUGGCACCCUAUGUAAAUCUCCUUCGACGAGUCGAGUUGUUUGGGAAUGCAGCUCUAAAUGGGAGGUAAAUUUCAUCUAAAGCUAAAUAUUGGCCGGAGACCGAUAGCGCACAAGUAGAGUGAUCGAAAGAUGAAAAGCACUUUGAAAAGAGAGUUAAAAAGCACGUGAAAUUGUUGAAAGGGAAGCGCUUGCGACCAGACUC